Molecule: non-coding RNA, 23 nt
Filed under: Cricetulus griseus (Chinese hamster)
Lineage: Eukaryota; Metazoa; Chordata; Mammalia; Rodentia; Cricetidae
Source: RNAcentral
UGACAAUGAGACCUGUAACAUUU